GGAUGGGAAAGGGUGGUGAAGGAGGAGGAGGAGAGAGAGAUGGGAAAGAGGAGAACAUGGCUGCAUGGCUGGUCGCUAUCAACACCCUGAAGAUCCUGCCCUUCAACCUCCCACCUCUUGGACCAUAUGAUGUUCGGGUGCGGAUGAAGGCAGUGGGUAUCUGUGGCAGUGAUGUUCACUACCUCAGAGCGAUGAGAUGUGCGGAUUUUGUGGUGAAGGAGCCGAUGGUUAUCGGGCAUGAGUGUGCCGGGGUUGUAGAGGAAGUGGGGAGUGCAGUGAAGUCCCUCAUCCCGGGGGAUCGGGUGGCUUUGGAGCCUGGGAUUAGCUGCUGGAGAUGCAACCAUUGCAAGGGGGGUCGGUAUAAUCUGUGUCCUGAUAUGAAGUUUUUCGCGACUCCUCCGGUUCAUGGAUCUCUUGCUCAUCAGGUGGUGCAUCCUUCAGAUCUGUGUUUUAAGCUCCCUGAUGACUUGAGUUUAGAGGAAGGCGCAAUGUGUGAACCUCUUAGUGUUGGGAUCCAUGCUUGUCGCCGGGCUGGUAUUGGUCCAGAGAAGAAUGUGCUGAUCAUGGGAGCUGGACCAAUUGGAUUAGUCACGAUGCUUGCUGCCCGAGCUUUUGGGGCUCCAAGAAUCAUAAUAGCGGAUGUUGAUGAUUACCGUUUGUCAGUUGCAAAGUCUCUUGGUGUUGAUGAUUUUGUCAAGGUUUCUACCAAUAUUCAGGACCUCGGCGAGGAGGUGGCAAACAUACGUAGAGCUAUGGGUGCUGAAGUCGAUGUGACCUUCGACUGCGCCGGCUUUAGCAAAACAAUGUCCACUGCUCUGAAUGCUACCAGCCCUGGUGGAAAAGUUUGUCUGGUGGGAAUGGGUCACGAUGAGAUGACUCUCCCUCUCACUUCAGCUUCAGCAAGGGAAGUCGAUGUCAUCGGCAUUUUUCGUUACAAGGAUACCUGGCCUUUAUGCAUUGAGUUCCUGAAGAGCGGAAAGAUCGAUGUGAAACCUCUGAUAACACACCGAUUUGGGUUCUCUCAGGAGGAGGUUGAGGAAGCUUUUGAAGUCAGUGCUCGCGGAGGAAGUGCAAUCAAGGUGAUGUUUAAUCUGUAGCUGCUCAGCGAGCCUUUUGCCUGUAGCAGUGAUCUAGUCUCAAAUUAUGAGCAAUAAUGCCUAUCAAGGCGAUGUUUAAUCUGUAGCUGCUAAGCAAGCUUUUUACCUAUAGUAGUGAUCUGGUCUCAAGUUAUGAACAAUAAUGACUCCAUGUUUGAACCAUAAAUCUAUAGUCAAG
Molecule: unclassified non-coding RNA, 1275 nt
Filed under: Hevea brasiliensis (rubber tree)
Lineage: Eukaryota; Viridiplantae; Streptophyta; Magnoliopsida; Malpighiales; Euphorbiaceae
Source: RNAcentral